UAUCGAGUGCAUUUGGAUUCCUCCGGCUCUGGAGACGAGGAAGAGAUGGUUACAACAUCUCAUCCAACGACUCUAAUGUGACUCAGUCUCUCAACACUUCAUAAUGUUUGCAGAGCGCUUCAACCAGUCCACUCUGAAAGACAACCAACGGAGCUCGACACUUUUUCUCCAACGUUACGACAACUAAUCAUGAAUACGGUUUUCUUUUUAAAGCUGCUGCACAGCUUACAACUCUGUUAUACAUACAAGCAUUUAUAUGUAUGUUAUUACAUUCAUUUAUGUUGGAUAAAUAGUAUUAAUUAUCUUCUUUGAGAAAGGAGUUUCAUGUACUUGCUAUAGGUCAGGAGAUAUACACGGGAAAAUGUGUGUCGUCAUUCUCAUUUCUGACCACUAGAGGCAGAAGUGCACCGAUAUUUUCUUUCAGGUACUUUAAUUUCUUGAUGCACUUAAAAAAACAAAACAUGUAGCUACAUAUAAAAGGCAUUAAUCUUAAUAAGUGAUCUUAUAUUACUGUGUUUUUGUCAUAUAAUAAAUACUUUUUGAAUGCAGAGAA
Long non-coding RNA from Labrus mixtus (cuckoo wrasse), 553 nucleotides. RefSeq lists it as uncharacterized. Lineage: Eukaryota; Metazoa; Chordata; Actinopteri; Labriformes; Labridae. The transcript is spliced from 2 exons. The record is from RefSeq and is a predicted model, not a curated record.